Molecule: ribosomal RNA, 253 nt
Filed under: uncultured bacterium
Lineage: Bacteria
Description: partial 16S ribosomal RNA
Rfam family: Bacterial small subunit ribosomal RNA
Source: RNAcentral
UACGUAGGUGGCAAGCGAUACUCGGAAUCACUAGGCGUAAAGCGCAGGUAGGCGGUUCGGUAAGUCUUUUGUGAAAGCUUCCGGCUCAACUGGGAGAGGCCAAGGGAAACUACCGGACUAGAGUGUGGUAGGGGAUACUGGAAUUCCUGGUGUAGCGGUGAAAUGCGUAGAUAUCAGGAGGAAUACCUAUGGCGAAAGCAGGUAUCUGGGCCAUCACUGACGCUGAGCUGCGAAAGCUAGGGGAGCAAACAGG